This is a non-coding RNA of Rattus norvegicus (Norway rat), 1852 nucleotides long. NCBI's taxonomy places the organism in Eukaryota, Metazoa, Chordata, Mammalia, Rodentia, Muridae. The record is from RefSeq and is a predicted model, not a curated record.
CUAAAUAAAAUAAGGCAGAGGAAGAUACCAGACAUAGUACUCUGGCUUCCACAUGUAUGUGCACAUGUACACAAACACACAACGUGCACACACGCACGCACUCACACACACUCAAAGAGUUAAUAAAGCAGCAGUUGUACCGUCAGAGCCUCGGGUCAAAGAUUGGCACCCAAUGAAGGCUAGAGCCAAAUAUUUAAAACAAAAGAAACUAUCCCUUUCUGUCUUCAAUAAUGAAAAAAAAAAAGUAAGUUUUACUUAGCACUGAGUUCCAUUUUCUUUUUCUUUUUUCUUUCUUUUUUUUUUUUUUUGAUAAUUAUUCAGUGUAAGCCCCGUCAAAGCAUCGUACUGAGAAAAGACUCGUAUUUUAAAGCUCGUGGAGAGUGGAGAGGAGUGGAUAGCAGAGGCUGUCUCCUUGCCUUGUCAUUUUUAUUUAGAUUGACGUACCUUUGAUUAGAAUUAGGGAUAAGCAUUCAGCAGUUAAGACUCCAUAAUCCCAUCAUUAGCGGUCCGGAGGGGUUCGCCGGGCGAAGCUUCAUGCGGCUCUUUCUUUCCGGCUUCUUAACCGCUUGGGCAGCCCGAGGAUGCAGAGUGUGAGCUAAGGAAAGAUCUGCCACUGAGAUCAUCUAAGCUGACACACGAGUGAGGACGCAGGUGACGCUCAGUGACAGUGUUGGCCCCGUUCUUGGGAGGCCCCGUGUCUUCUCGCCUGCCUCUCUUGGUGUACCAGGAGUAUUACACUGUCUCGGACAGUACCAGUCAACAGCCAUUUUGCACAAAGAGAUACAGAAGGUCCUAAGUCAUUUUUCCAGGGUAGCUCAGGGAGAACUUAAUGACAAUUGGUCUAGAAUAAGAAGCACUUAGGAAAUUACCGAUGCCUACCUCUGAGUGGGUCUUUGACACGUGCAACCAUGAGGCCAAAUCUCUUAAUGAGUUCUGUGAUGGUUAAUAUAUGCUCGGGUCAGGGAGUGGCACUAUUAGGAGGUGUGGCCCUGUUGAAGUGGGUGUGGCCUUUGUUGGGGUGGGUGUGGUCUUGUUGGAGUAGGUGUGGCCUUGGUAGAGUGGGUGUGGCCUUGUUGGAGUGGGUGUGGCCUUGUUGGAGUGGGUGUGGCGCUGUGAGCAUGGGCUUUAAUACUCUAGUCCUAGCUUCCUGGAAGCCAGUCUUCUCUUAGAGGCCUGCAGAUGAAGAUGUAGAACCCUCAGCUCUGCCUGUACCAUCCCAUGCUGCCAUGUUCCUGCCUUGAUGAUAAUGGACCGAACCUCUGAACCUAAUCUUCUCUGCCGUGAUGGAUUGAAACCCUCAGGACACCGAGCAGAACUCUUUCUUCUGUUAAGCUGUUUUGAUCGGGAGUUUGGUCACAGCUAGAGAAAGCUAACAAGGGCCCCCAUAAAACAGGAGAAAGGGGACGGAUUAAGCAACACGCACUGCUUGCCCACCGCACAGUCUGUUGAGACCGGUGACAGGAGAGAGAGGCCCCGAGGAACAUGUUUGCUCUGGUGCUGAUUAGAAAAGUCUCCAGCCUCAAGCUGUGGGCCGCUGCCCGCCUGGCUCGUGUCCUGAUAUGUCCAUCGCACAUUUGACAGACCUCGGAGAUUUAUGUCAAGCCGAGCUUUAAAAUAAGCUCAGAAGUUGGGAUUUCUUUCCAGUAUUGUGAUUGCAGCUAGAACGUCAUUCAUAUUCCUAUGUCCCAAGGAAUAUAGGGUUUGUGUUCCUCAAGAGUGAGCUAAAAGUGCCCUUAACAACGCAGCUUGGGUCUUCCAGGUGCAGAUCCUGCGGAAGCCAGGAAAAGCAAGCCCUGUGCCUUAGAGUAAAGCUUUGAAGUCAAGAAAAUAUAUAUUUGUAUUGAAUACUGAA